CCCGGUCCGCUGGUAACAGUCGGUCGCAUGGCAAGCCUCAUCGGGAGCAAGGCCAAGCAGAAGACGGCAAGGGCUGCUCGCCCGUGUCUUCGGGUAGGCCGCUAGAGCCUGGCGGCAACGUCAGGUCGAGAUGGAUGGCCAUCCGCGUGGCGACACGCGACAGAACCCGGGGUAUCGGGGGUCUCGCUUU
This 190-nucleotide RNase P RNA is filed under the name Bifidobacterium bifidum. RNAcentral's name for it is "partial RNase P RNA component class A". It matches the Rfam family "Bacterial RNase P class A", at positions 177 to 367 of the family's 367-position model. From Rfam's summary of the family: Ribonuclease P (RNase P) is a ubiquitous endoribonuclease, found in archaea, bacteria and eukarya as well as chloroplasts and mitochondria. Its best characterised activity is the generation of mature 5'-ends of tRNAs by cleaving the 5'-leader elements of precursor-tRNAs. Lineage: Bacteria; Bacillati; Actinomycetota; Actinomycetes; Bifidobacteriales; Bifidobacteriaceae. The record is from RNAcentral.